This 285-nucleotide ribosomal RNA is filed under the name uncultured bacterium. RNAcentral's name for it is "partial 16S ribosomal RNA". It matches the Rfam family "Bacterial small subunit ribosomal RNA", at positions 28 to 314 of the family's 1533-position model. The record is from RNAcentral.
GACGAACGCUGGCGGCGUGCUUAACACAUGCAAGUCGAGCGGUAAGGCCCUUUCGGGGGUACACGAGUGGCGAACGGGUGAGUAACACGUGGGUGACCUGCCCUCAGCUCUGGGAUAAGCCUGGGAAACCGGGUCUAAUACCGGAUAUGACUCCAUGACGCAUGUUGUGGGGUGGAAAGCCUUGAGUGGCUAGAGAUGGGCCCGCGGCCUAUCAGCUUGUUGGUGGGGNGAUGGCCUACCAAGGCGACGACGGGUAGCCGGCCUGAGAGGGCGACCGGCCACACU